RNAcentral lists this long non-coding RNA (346 nucleotides) under Rattus norvegicus (Norway rat). Its description in RNAcentral is "long non-coding RNA NONRATT022552". The record is from RNAcentral. Lineage: Eukaryota; Metazoa; Chordata; Mammalia; Rodentia; Muridae.
CAUUGGGGCUUUCCAGCUCUCACAGACCCAUCAGCAUCUCCAGCUGCCAGUCUUGGCAUCUUCGAAGUAAGGAGAGGAAAUCAUUGAGUUCCCCAUCCUGAAGUUAAAUGGCCGGACCAUGGAAAUUGAGUCUACCUUUCACAUGUAUGUCCAGCCUGUAGUCCACCCACAGCUUACCCCCUUCUGUACAGAGCUCACUGGGAUCAUUCAAGCCAUGGUGGAUGGCCAGCCAAGCCUGCAGCAAGUGCUGGAGAGGGUCGAUGAGUGGAUGGCGAAGGAAGGCCUCUUAGAUCCCAACGUCAAGUCAAUCUUUGUCACCUGUGGAGACUGGGACUUGAAAGUCAUG